RNAcentral lists this ribosomal RNA (1698 nucleotides) under human gut metagenome. Its description in RNAcentral is "bacterial LSU rRNA". It matches the Rfam family "Bacterial large subunit ribosomal RNA", at positions 752 to 2463 of the family's 2925-position model. The record is from RNAcentral.
UGAGGUGAAACUCAAUGGAGGACCGAACCGACUACCGUUGAAAAGUUAGCGGAUGACUUGUGGCUAGGGGAGAAAUUCCAAUCGAACCCGGAGAUAGCUGGUUCUCCCCGAAAUAGCUUUAGGGCUAGCGUCGGAAAGAACCUUAGUGAAGGUAGAGCACUGAAUGUGUGAUGGCCCCAUCCCGGGGUACUGAAUACAAUCAAACUGCGAAUGUCAUUAAGGAUGUCCGGCAGUCAGACUGUGAGUGAUAAGGUCCAUGGUCAAGAGGGAAACAGCCCAGACCGCCAGUUAAGGUCCCAAAAUACAGGCUAAGUGGAAAAGGAUGUGGGGAUGCCCAGACAACUAGGAGGUUGGCUCAGAAGCAGCCAUCCUUCAAAGAGUGCGUAACAGCUCACUAGUCGAGUGACCCUGCGCCGAAAAUGUACCGGGGCUAAGCCUGAUACCGAAACUGCGGAUUGUAGGAAACUAUAGUGGUAGGGGAGCGUUGUAUACGAGUGGAAGCCGUACCGUGAGGAGCGGUGGAUUGUAUAGAAGUGAGAAUGCCGGUGUGAGUAGCGAGAUGUAGGUGAGAAUCCUACACACCGAAAGCCCAAGGAUUCCAGGGGAAGGUUCGUCCGCCCUGGGUAAGUCGGGACCUAACGCGAGGCCGAAAGGCGUAGUGGAUGGAAAGCAGGCGAAAGAUUCCUGCACCCGUAUAUGGAGCGAAGGAGUGACGGAGACGGAUAGUGUGACCCUCUUAAUGGAUUGAGGGCGAAGCGAAGCGGCUGGUUACCAGGCAAAUCCGGUAACCAUAAGGCUAGAGCGUGAUAGGUAAGCGAAAUCUUAGGAAAGUAGCGAAGCACAUGAUGACGGCUUCCAGGAAAAGCUUCUGGCAAUGCAUAUGCGGCCCGUACCAAAACCGACACAGGUGGGCAGGGAGAGAAUCCCGAGGUGAGCGAGAGAACUGUUGCCAAGGAACUCGGCAAAAUGACUCCGUAAGUUAGCGAGAAGGAGUGCUUAAGCAAUUAAGCCGCAGUGAAGAGGCCCAAGCGACUGUUUAACUAAAACACAGCUCUCUGCGAAGUCGCAAGACGAAGUAUAGGGGGUGACACCUGCCCGGUGCUGGAAGGUUAAGAGGAUCUGUUAAGAGCGAUCUGAAGCAGUGAUCCGAAGCCCCAGUGAACGGCGGCCGUAACUAUAACGGUCCUAAGGUAGCGAAAUUCCUUGUCAGGUAAGUUCUGACCCGCACGAAAGGUGUAACGAUUUGGGCGCUGUCUCGGCAGCAGACUCGGUGAAAUCUUAGUACCUGUGAAAAUGCAGGUUACCCGCAACUAGACGGAAAGACCCCAUGGAGCUUUACUGCAGCCUGAUAUUGAAUUCUGGUCAUACAUGUACAGGAUAGGUGGGAGACAAAGAGACGUGCACGCCAGUGUACGAGGAGUCGACGUUGGGAUACCACUCUUGUGUGACCGGGGUUCUAACCUGGUAUCGAGAACAGGUACGGGGAGAGUGUCAGGUGGGCAGUUUGACUGGGGCGGUCGCCUCCCAAAGAGUAACGGAGGCGCCCAAAGGUACGCUCAGAUUGGAUGGAAACCAAUCGACGAGUGCAAUUGCAGAAGCGUGCUUGACUGUGAGACUUACAAGUCGAACAGGGACGAAAGUCGGGAAUAGUGAUCCGGCGGUGCCGAAUGGAAGGGCCGUCGCUCAACGGAUAAAAGC